This 262-nucleotide ribosomal RNA is filed under the name uncultured bacterium. RNAcentral's name for it is "partial 16S ribosomal RNA". It matches the Rfam family "Bacterial small subunit ribosomal RNA", at positions 793 to 1055 of the family's 1533-position model. The record is from RNAcentral.
GUCCACGCCCUAAACGUUGGGCACUAAGUGUGGGGGGUAACCUCCCGUGCCGUAGCUAACGUAUUAAGUGCCCCGCCUGGGAGUACGGCCGCAAGGUUAAAACUCAAAGAAAUUGACGGGGCCCGCACAAGCGGUGGAGCAUGUGGUUUAAUUCGACGCAACGCGAAAAACCUUACCUGGGCUUGACAUCCCAAGAAGUCCCCUGGAAACCGGGAUGUGCCUCGCAAGAGGAGCUUGGAGACAGGUGCUGCAUGGCUGUCGU